This is a non-coding RNA of Podarcis lilfordi (Lilford's wall lizard), 1354 nucleotides long. Lineage: Eukaryota; Metazoa; Chordata; Lepidosauria; Squamata; Lacertidae. The record is from the annotation of a GenBank genome assembly.
CGUGAUCUGUUUCAGGGUGCCGUUCACACCCCGGAAAGUCCAAAAGUAAAGCGCCACUGCGAAGCGGGAUAGAGCGCUUCUGCACAUGCGCAAAGCGAACCCAGAAGUAAACACAUGUGCGCACGGCGAACCCAGAAGUAAACACUUUUGGGUUUGCCGCGUUCGUAACCUGAAAAGCCGCAACGUGAAGCAAACGUAACACGAGGUAUGACUAAUAAAUGCACAAGACUGUUUACGAGAUAACAGGGUUGUAAAGUUCCAGAGUUAAGGUUUAGCCUAUUGAAAUCUUGAACUUAAACAUGCCUAACUCAACACAAGAUCAGGCUGUUAGUGGAUUGGGGAACCAUUUUCAGGCUGAGGCUUCACUCCCUUUUGCCAGUGGCUGGUGCAGCCGGAAGUGAAAGUGGGCAGAGAAAUGAAAGCAAAUUUCACCUCCCCAUAGUAGGCUGGUUUCUGCACACAUAUCCCUCUCUAUCCUCCCUCCAGGUGAGCAAGAGUUCAAAGGACGUAUUCAAGGCAAGCAAAAAAACUUGAUGGUGUGACGCACACAGCCAGUGUGGACUGUGGCCUUGGGGCUAAAACAGUUUUCUUGUGGCAUAAAGAAUAAACGUAAUAAAUUAUCAGGAGUGCUUUUAACCACCAAUUCCUAGUUCAUUUUUCUAAUUAAAUGUACAGCUGAUGAUAUGCCAGCCAGCCUACUUAUGCAAACCAGCAAUCCAAACUUAAUGAAUGCAAAUCAUAGCUUAAAUUGUUGGAUAAUGACUUCCCCACACACUCUACCCUUCAGACCAGGGAGAAAUGACCUAAAGUUACAAAUUAUUUAUUUGGGUAUGUGUGGUUUAGCAAAUCAUGCAAAUAAGUUGUUCUCAGUAUUCCUUCAUGUCCCUUAAUAUAGCUGUCCUAUCUUACAUACAGUUUCAUAUAUAAUAUUCUCUAGAAACUGGUGAGCUUUGACAAAUUGUGCAGGCAGUUGUGCAGAUCUUUUGAUGGCCUAUUUCAAAGAAAGGUACAGUGGUACCUCGGGUUACAUACACUUCAGUUUACAUACGCUUCAGGUUACAGACUCCGCUAACCCAGAAAUAGUGCUUCAGGUUAAGAACCUUGCUUCAGGAUGAGAACAGAAAUUGUGCUCUGGCGGCACGGCAGCAGCAGGAGGCCCCAUUAGCUAAAGUGGUGCUUCAGGUUAAGAACAGUUUCAGGUUAAGUAUGGACCUCCGGAACGAAUUAAGUACUUAACCUGAGGUACCACUGUACUAGAGAGUCUCAUUCUUCCCCUCCCCCCUUACACAUAGAACCAUAAUAUUGUGAAUCUUGCUAGUCAAAACUUAAUAAACACCAAUAUGCAACGCUCUGA